CUGAAUUAUGAGAACUUGGCAAAUUGAAAUGGAAAUAUUAUAGCAAAAGACUGGUUUAGUCUUUAUGUAAGACAUCAUGAAUCGUGUCCCAUAUGCUUCGGAUAUAGGAUCGAUUACAUGUGCUAUAUUCAUCCGUUCUAAAAUUUUCCAAAUGCCUGGGGCAUUAAGAAGGGAAAAGGUUUAGAACUGGAUAUGACUAAAAGGAUUAAACAAUUGUCGAGGACAAUCUAAGGUUUACCAAAGAUUGGUUGCUCAAGGACAGUUGGAAGUAUAGUGAUAAUUCUGGAAGGACCAUAUUGACAUAAUCUGUAAGGAGGCAACUCUUGUUCAGAAGUGAUAGUCAAAAUGGAAUCUGGAAAUGUUUCAAAGUUAGAAUUUUCAAUCUGUUUAAGAUUAGGAAACUUAAUGCAAGAAGGAUGUUUCCAAGGAGCUGAUCUCCUUUGGAAUACUCUGUAAUGAUUGUUGUCAAGUCUUUCUGACUUUGUGCAUAAUCAUUACAAGAGGAUCAAUGCAUAUAAGUUUAGAAUCUAACAGAUUUCAGUAAAUGGCAUGAAUUUGGAAUUCUUGCAUUUGCAGUAAGGAUUUGGGAGUGUGAAAAGAGAAUCAUUGAAGUUAUGUUCAAUUGAUCUAGUUCACAAAGUAAAGAUCAUAGACAAACAUAGUAUGCAUACUUGGUGUGUGGCAUGACUAGUGUUUAAGAAAACAUAGUGUACAUGCUUGGAGCAUGGGACAACUAUUGUUUUAAAUUCAAGAAUAAAGUUGAUAGCUGAAACAGUAUACAAUGAAUAAUGUGUAAUCAUAUGGUGAUAAAUAAAAGGUGUUUUAUUUAUGUUCAAAGGGUUGAUACCAUAUUGGAUUCAAUUAUUAUUGUGUUUCACUUUGCAUGUUUUGACUUCCCGAAUAAACUAGGUUAUUCUUCCGGAAUGACUAAGUUAUUCAAACCAUCCACAGUCGGUCAUAUGUUGGAAGUAGAUAUGAAUUAAGACUGUCAUGGGUUGGCUUGUAGAGGUCUAAGGUGUUGGACAAAGGGCUACAACACUCAUGAGUGCUCAUAAGUUCUGAGUAUUGGAUUCAACCCGCGCUCAUUGGAAUCACUUCAUGGAUUUUAUCACGAGUGAUCAUGAGACGAUAAUAUCUUAUAUUCUUCAAACCUAGAGAUAUGAGUUGUUACUAUGAGUUGAUAGUACAUUGAUUGCACGAAAACGCAUUUGGUAACUCGGUGCUAUAAAACGUGCCUUUGUGUAUGAUUCAACAAGUAGUAGAACAAGCCAUAUGAGUCGAAGUUUAUCCGUUCCUUUUACCUUCGGGAUAAAAGCGAUAUCUGUGGGCCCCUCGAUGAUUUGAUGAUGACAAAUGGAAGUGCUCGGCCGGGCCAGGACUGAUUUGAUUUGUUCAAUUAGUCAGUCGUCAUAAAUCGGAAAUCGGGAAACAACAAAUGGACAGAGAGAAUGAUUAUAAUCCAUGUCUCAGUCCAUAUGAUAUCUAGAAUGGAGGAAUAUAUGAUCCCUUAUCUAAUGGACAAGUCAUUGACAAAGGUCAGAGUUCAUCUACAAGGUCAGAGUUCGACAGAAGCUUUUGAGAGCUACGAUUGCCAGUUGGUUCCUGAAGUCAUACGCAAUAAUAGUUUUAGACUUAUCCAAGUGGGAGACUGUUGGAUUAAUGUCUAAGUCCAUAACUAUAAUUGGUAAGACUUGACCCGACCCGGCAUGGUCCAUUUGGGUUGCAUACCAUCAUGCACUUGGAUAGACUAUAAUGAGAGAAAUAAGACACUUAUGGUUAUUAAUAUAUUAUAAGUUCUAGUAUAUUAAUAAUAAGAAUAAUAAGAUUAUUUAAUUAGUAUUGAUCAAGAAUUAAUCUAGGAUUAAUUAAGUGAUCAAAAGAAGACUAAUUAAAUAUAUGGGUUGAUUGUGUAAAUCAUCCAUACUUGUAUAGUGGGCUAAUGCUCCAUGGAUAAUCAAGUUGGGCUAAAACCCAUAGGAUGGUCCAUGGAUGCUCCAUGGUGUAUUUGUACCCAUGGAUCCAAGGAAAUGGAAAGCCAUGACAAUUAAGAGUUUACCCUAAUUGUGUAACUAUAUAAGCAUCUUAUUAUUGAGGAAAAAUCGGCCACUAGAGAUAGUGAAGAAAGGGCUAGCCGAUUUUGAUGAGUGUAGAAUUCUCUCAAGUCAUUCUAAGUGUUUUGAUGAUUGUGAUUCCAUUUGAGGUGUCACACUUGGGGCACUAGGCACUCAAGCUUCAUGAAGACUUUCUACACCAAAGAGGUAUGUAUUCUAUCUUGCUAUAGUUAUUGUUUUGUAUGCUAGAUUAGGAUAAUACCUUGGAAGUUCUUAUUUGCAUGUAUAAUAGAGAAAACAUAGAUCCAAGGUAUUUAGGGUUGCAUGUACACUUAGGAAGUGUUAGAAUGCUCAAAACCCAACAGUGGUAUCAGAGCCACGGGUUGUUUUCUGUUAUAUUGAUGCAAAUAUUUUAUUUUCAAAGUUGAAAAAAAAAAAAAAAAAAAACAUGAAGUUUGUCAAAUUUUAAGAUAAUUACUUGUUCUUGUGAAAAACUAAUUAUUUGUAAAAUUUGAAUAAUUUGCUUUAUGAGUUGAAUUAGGUCAAAUUUAAUAAAAGAUAAAAUAAUAUGAUUAUUUUAUUAGUUUUAAAAGUUUGAUCUAAAGAGUUUUAUUUUUUGAAACCUCCAUAAGUUAUGGAUAUGAAAAGGUUUUAAAAAAAAAAUUGAUUCAAAGUUUUUUUGGAGUUACAAAAUUUGGUGUUAAUGUUUUAAAGGAUUCCAUAACUUAAGAAUAAGUUAUGGAUCACCAAAAGUUUUUUGUGUUACCUUGUUUUAUGAGUGAAUUUAGAUUAAUGAAUAAAAUUAUGUGAUAGUUGGUUUUAAUCCAAAUUAAUCUAAGAAUUGAUUCUAAAAUGUGUUUUUGUAACUUGUCCUCAAGUUAUAUGAAAAGUCACAUUUAAGAAUCAUAAAACUCAUAAAAAUUGGCAAAGGUUACAAAAAUGAAGAGUCUAGUUCUAAUUAAAUGGUUUUAUGACUCCAUAACUUGUCCUCAAGUUAUGGAGGACCAAGAGUCUCUUCAUUUAAUAAAAUAAAAUAAAAAAAAAAAAAGUGUAACCUUAAUUAAUUCCAUAAGUUAUAAAAUAAAGAAAAGUUAAUUCUUUUAUUAGUUUAAAGUCUUCCAUAACUUGUCCUCAAGUUAUGGAACUUGAAGAGUUUUUGGAUUAAAACUACUUUAAACACAUAAGUUAUGGAAUUAAUUAGUUUUGAAUAGUUUCAAAACUUGCCCUCAAGUUUUGGAAUUUGUAAAGUUUUCACUUAUGAAUACUUUAAUUCCAAGUUAGCCCUUAGAAUUUUAAAAGUUAAAAUUCAACCCUUAUACUUUAUAAUAUUAUAAGUUAAUAAUAUAUAUAUGUAUAAGAGUAAAGUCAGUCUUACCGCUAGUACGCCUCAUUCACGAAGCCGGUCUAUAAGGUGGGUAUAAGGUUGUUGCCUAUAAAAUGGCAACUUAAUGGGUGUCCACUCUCACCCACCGCUUGCUUGACUGGUGGAGGGUCGUUAGCCGAACGGGUUUGACAGGACUAGAAUUCUCCCUUCAUUAAAAGUAUUAAUGAUAAUACUAAGUAACUAAACUCUUAAUAAUACCCAAUCUUAGUUACUUAGGAAAAAUGUGAAUAAGGUGCUAAUCCAUGAAAUUACACUUUACACUUUGUCUAAGUCGUUAGUGGAGCGUGUGUGGUUAACCGGCACACUAACUUGGACUUAACAAGGUAGGUAAAGGGUGACUUAAUAUUUAUCAUAGUAUCGAUGGAGCGUGUGUGGUUAACCGGCACAUCGAUUGAGGGGUAAUUUAUUAAGGGUACCAAGUGAUUUGCAUGGUUACUUCACACCUUGUUUUGUGAUCCUCGGCAUCCCAGUCACAAAACCUGAAGGGCACACUCGAGAUUGAAACAUGCCUUUGAAAAGUUCAAUGAAUCUCAAAGAUCUAGGAGUUUCAAAACCAAUUAAAACCUAAUAAUACAUUUCGUUUAUCUUGGUGGAAAUUGGUGAAUCGUCAUUCACCUACCUUCAAAUAUUUUAUAGCUUGGAUUACGGCAUACCUCUUCUAAGUUAUAAAAUAGUUUGUUGGGUCCUAGCCUUAAUAUUUCAUAUUGGGUGUCAUAUUAAGGACUUUAAAUCAACUAUCUUGAAUAUCUCCCAAAAGAUGUCUGGUUUAGACACCUAUGAUCUUCCCAAAUCUCUUGAAACAAGGUUUCCUAAUGAAGAUGAUGUCCCAUGGAUAUCAUACUUCUUCACCUCUUCCAAUUAUUCUCCCUAACCCACAAGUUCUUGAAAAGUUUAAGGUCACUCAGGCCCUAUUGGCAAGGCAAGGUCUAGGUGUGGUCACAUCUUGGAGAUGUAGUCACAUAUUGACAAGCCGGGAGAGUUGGGUGUCAAAGUCUUGAGAAAGUUGGUGGUUCAACUACUUUCUAAGUCACAUAGUGAGUUCUUUUGGAACACCUAUGAAAAAGACUAUGACAAGACCCUUAAUGAUCUUAUCUAUUUGUUAAGAUCAACUUCCUAAAACUUUAUGGACAUUGACAAUGAUGACAUUGGAUAUCCAGUAAAGCAUUCUCUUCCCAAUGGAAAGGGAUCGGCUAUAGUCAACUCGGUUGACCAAAUGGUAAAGAGAAAAGCUAAGUCUGUGAUAGUCCUGUGUACCAUUAUCAAAGGGUCCAUAUGUUUGUAUUGCCAAAGAAAGGGCAUUGGUUGCGAAGCUGCCAAAUUUACCUAAGGAUGUUAAAGUCAAUAAGUUUGACUCUACUUCAGGUAAAAUCCACUAUCUAACUCUGUUAAGUUUCUAUUCUGAGAUUCUUGAUACAUGAUGUGACCGGGUCGCAUGGUGAUGGUUUAAGAAUCAAAGGAAAGUGAAGAAACUUAAAGAAAGAAUAUGCUGAAUCUGAUCGCAUAGAUGGAUUUCUAUCGCAUAGUUUGAAAAAUCGGAUUCUUGAGCUACUUCUUAGGAGUUAUGAGAUAUUGCUUACGAAUAGAUAACACCAAGUUUUCAUAUGGAUUGUAAGGAUAAGCUUUUCCGCGAAGUUUUAAAUAAAAGGAAAUUUUUGAUUUUAUUUAUUUUAAAAUAUCCUUACAAUGGCAUCUGUGGAAAUUUUUGUUGCUUAUAAGAUUCCAUUAGUAGCAAGAGUGGAAGUAUGAAAUUGAUUCUUUCAUUUGUGGUAAUGUCUAAAUUUACCAAAUAAGGAAAGAUUCUCAUCACCCAAGUUUCAAUUGGACCGGAACUUGGAAUCAUGCAAGUUGUAUAGCAUGAUGAAUGAGAACUUUCAAGUUUUGGAAAAUUAAGACUAAUUACUUGUUCACAUGGAUGUGUGAGUCAAGUAAAGGACUUAGGGAUCGAGUACACAUUCUUGUGCACUGAUUAAGUCCACCACUAAAGAUCGAUAAGAAGAAUCAAAUAAGGCAGAAGGAUAAAAGUUUCUCAAAUCUGAAAAGAUGGGAGAGUACUUUAGUAUCAUGUUUUAAGACCAUCUUAAUGAUUUUGAGACCUUAUCACAAUUCAUCCUCUAAGUGCAUUAUGAUAGCUAAGAAGAGGAAUCUUGGAUAGUUGAAAUGGUUAAAUCAAGUAGAUGAGUCAUACUUCGUUGCAAUAUAAGUCUUAGAGUCAUACUCCAAGAUUGUCAUUUGAGUGACAUGUCUUAAAGAAGGUUUAAAACACUUGUCAAAUGUAAGAGUAAAAGUUUUCUACUCUUGUACAUUUGAAAUUGGUAAGUUGUGAUGUUUUGGAUAAAACAAAGACCAACUUAGGCCAAUUGGGUAAAGUGUUUUUCUUGAUUAGAAUCCGCACUAUCUCUUGGAUGUUUGACAAGGGAGUCUUAUAUGUCAAGAGGACAGUGGGAGUCUUAAAGGUCUUGAAAGUCUCAAGAACUAAUCAAGAAUAAAACCUGAAGUUCUUCACUAGCACACGACUUGAGGUUCAUAACCUAUCGUGUUGACAUAUUCUGUGCCCAUUCCAGUUAAAGUUGGCUUUGCAUAUGAGUUCUUAGAGUUCUCAAUUUGUUGCACAACAACUUGGAAGCAAUGGCAGGCCCUUGAGCUGCCAGGUGGCAAGAAAUUAAGAUUGAGUUCAGUCCAUAUGAGUUUGGAUUUGUCAUUAUCCUUGUCUUGUGACUAUGGUUUUGACAAUUCACAUGGAUAAGAACACAUACACCAUUAAAUCUAAGUGUCAUAAGGUUUCUCUCCGAUUCAUGAAAAUGAUGGUGAGGAAACACUUUCACUAAGUAGAUUUUAGCUAGAUAGCAAUUGUGAUAUUUGCAUUCUCAAAGUCGUUAGUGGAGCGUGUGUGGUUUACCGGCACACUAACCUGGACUUGUGAGAAGUGGCAAAAAGGUCUAACCAUUAUGAUUACGGCAUACCUCUUCAUAAUUGUUUAGACACACAAGUGUGCUAUCUAAGGGAAGGUGUAUGAUUUUGAUAAAGUUUUAUCAAAACAAUCUAGCAUCAGAAAUCUGAACUUUGGUAAGAAAGUCAAUGAAGUAUUGAUUUCUAGAAGUCCAGCUGAUUUCUGAGUACAUGUCAAAGCUAGUGGGAGCAUAAGUGUUAUGCUAAUAAUCAUCAUGUUAGUGGGAGCAUGAUAAUUAUGAUAAGUAUUGCAAGUUAGCAAUGUUAAUUAUAGAAAACAAAAGUUUCAAUUGGGAAAAAGUUGUUUUGCUAUAAUUAAGGGAGAGGAAAUUAUACUUCAUCUCAAAUCUAUAAGCUUAGAUCGUGAGGUUUUAAUCAUUUAGUCAAGGAUAUAUAUGAAUUUCAUGUUGGAAUGGCUCAACAUAAGGAAAUUCUGUAUAUGGGUCCAUUAUUUGCGUUCUAAAAUUCGAUUAUGAUUACGGCAUCCCUUUUCAUAAUCUGAAUUAUGAGAACUUGGCAAAUUGAAAUGGAAAUGUUAUAGCAAAAGACUGGUUUAGUCUUUAUGUGAGACAUCAUGAAUCGUGUCCCAUAUGCUUCGGAUAUAGGAUCGAUUACAUGUGCUAUAAUCAUCCGUUCUAAAAUUUUCCAAAUGCCUGGGGCAUUAAGAAGGGAAAAGGUUUAGAACUGGAUAUGACUAAAAGGAUUAAACAAUUGUCGAGGACAAUCUAAGGUUUACCAAAGAUUGGUUGCUCAAGGACAGUUGGAAGUAUAGUGAUAAUUCUGGAAGGACCAUAUUGACAUAGUCUGUAAGGAGGCAACUCUUGUUCAGAAGUGAUAGUCAAAAUGGAAUCUGGAAAUGUUUCAAAGUUAGAAUUUUCAAUCUGUUUAAGAUUAGGAAACUUAAUGCAAGAAGGAUGUUUCCAAGGAGCUGAUCUCCUUUGGAAUACUCUGUAAUGAUUGUUGUCAAGUCUUUCUGACUUUGUGCAUAAUCAUUACAAGAGGAUCAAUGCAUAUAAGUUUAGAAUCUAACAGAUUUCAGUAAAUGGCAUGAAUUUGGAAUUCUUGCAUUUGCAGUAAGGAUUUGGGACUGUGAAAGAGGAUCAUUGGAGUUAUGUUCAAUUGAUCUAAUUCACAAAGUAAAGAUCAUAGACAAACAUAGUAUGCAUACUUGGUGUAUGGCAUGACUAGUGUUUAGAAAACAUAGUGUACAUGCUUGGAGCAUGGGACAACUAUUGUUUUAAAUUCAAGAAUAAAGUUGAUAGCUGAAACAGUAUACAAUGAAUAAUGUGUAAUCAUAUGGUGAUAAAUAAAAGGUGUUUUAUUUAUGUUCAUAGGUGUUGAUACCAUAUUGGAUUCAAUUAUUAUUGUGUUUCACUUUGCAUGUUUUGACUUCCCGAAUAAACUAGGUUAUUCUUCCUGAAUGACUAAGUUAUUCAAACCAUCCACAGUCGGUCAUAUGUUGGAAGUAGAUAUGAAUUAAGACUGUCAUGGGUUGGCUUGUAGAGGUCUAAGGUGUUGGACAAAGGGCUACAACACUCAUGAGUGCUCAUAAGUUCUGAGUAUUGGAUUCAACCCGCGCUCAUUGGAAUCACUUCAUGGAUUUUAUCACGAGUGAUCAUGAGACGAUAAUAUCUUAUAUUCUUCAAACCUAGAGAUAUGAGUUGUUACUAUGAGUUGGUUGUACAUUGAUUGCACAAAAACACAUUCGGUAACUCGAUGUUAUAAAACGUUCCUUUGUGUAUGAUUCAAC
Molecule: long non-coding RNA, 8131 nt
Filed under: Lactuca sativa (garden lettuce)
Lineage: Eukaryota; Viridiplantae; Streptophyta; Magnoliopsida; Asterales; Asteraceae
Description: long non-coding RNA (LSAT_LNC001401)
Source: RNAcentral